GUUCACCACAAGACUAAUAAUGUGCACAGAGUACAUUCAGAUUUCAUGUGGAAUUUAAAUAAGAUAUUGUACACUGAUGGAUAUGGACCCUUUUCACAUUUCUUCAGUUGGUAAACUCCUAUAAUAGUGAACGGGAACACUGACCCCAAAUUACUGACCAGUAGUGUAUAUUGUUAUUACAAAAUAUUUAUAUUUUAAAAACAUAGCUUCUUUUUUUUUUUUUUUUUACUUUUUAUUCAUCAAAGUAUCCUAAAAAAGUAUCACAUAUUCUGAAAAAAUAUUAAGCAGAAGAACUGUUUCCAACUUUGAUAAUGAAUCAUCAUAUUAGAAUGAUUUCUAAAGGAUCAUGUGAUAAUGAUCCUAAAAAUUCAGCUUUGCAUCACAGAAAUAAAUUAUAAUUUAAAGUAUAAUAAAUUUAAAAACAAUUAUUUUAAAUUGUAAUAAUAUAUCACAAUAUUAAAUUUUUUUCUGUAUUUUUGAUUAAAUAAAUGCAGGCUUGAUGAGCAGAAGAAACUUCUUUCAAAAACAUUAAAAAUAGUAAUGUUUCCAAACUUUUGGUCUGUACUAUUUUUUUUGUGUGUUCUCAUUUGCAACAAUAGCAAAAGAAAAAUCCAUGAUGGCUUUCCAAAAGAGGGAAAAGGGAAAGGGUCCAUUAUAAUAAAUUUGCAGUAACAUGGUAGUAAAGAAAUAUUUUACUCAGUUUAGACGAGAUCUCAUGUUUAUUUUACAGUUACUGCAGGGUAAACACUGUAUAACGACGGUAUCUGCUGAAUAGCGUGAGCUGUGGAAUAUUCGUGAAAUGGUUUUCUUCUCGUGUGGCUCUGAUCAUAUCCACUAGCGAGCGCUGUUUCUCUUAAAGUCCUCAGCCUUCGCCGUGGUUCCUUUUGUCCGCAGUUUUGUAGUCAACAUCCUUAUUAUAAACUACUCUCAGAGCCCUCCAAUAGGAGACGAGAAUCCCGGACAGACAGCGACUCCCACCAAUGACAGCCCGAGCUCGAUUUCCGCCAGCCAAUCAGCGACGCGGAGGCGGGCUCGUAGAGGGGAGGGUUCGCAUGUUUCACUACGUUGGCUUUUCUCCCAGAAAGAUUUCGGUGUGGGAAUUUAAAUUGUACAUUUCUGAGGCGGUCGGAGGCUCUUUAACCGGAGACCACAUCCUCGAAGAUUCGCCGAGCGCGUCCAGACUCAAUAAGUGCCGGUGCUCUGACCGGGACACACAUCACAGUAUGUUAAGAGGCGUAACAUUUCCGUCACACGCUUGA
Cyprinus carpio (common carp) is the source of this 1259-nucleotide long non-coding RNA. Lineage: Eukaryota; Metazoa; Chordata; Actinopteri; Cypriniformes; Cyprinidae. The record is from Ensembl.